Molecule: non-coding RNA, 99 nt
Organism: Byssothecium circinans
Lineage: Eukaryota; Fungi; Ascomycota; Dothideomycetes; Pleosporales; Massarinaceae
Source: the annotation of a GenBank genome assembly
UCCGAUAUGGUCUAGUGGCUAGGAUUUGCCGCUCUCACCAAAGAGCAGUUCACUCUCAGUAGUGCCGGCAAGGCCCGGGUUCGAUUCCCGGUGUCGGAA